RNAcentral lists this ribosomal RNA (524 nucleotides) under uncultured bacterium. RNAcentral describes it as "bacterial SSU rRNA". It matches the Rfam family "Bacterial small subunit ribosomal RNA", at positions 29 to 526 of the family's 1533-position model. The record is from RNAcentral.
AAUGAACGCUGGCGGCGUGCUUAACACAUGCAAGUCGAACGAGAACAGAGUAGCUUGCUAUUCUAAGUAAAGUGGCGCACGGGUGAGUAACGCGUGGAUAAUCUACCCCUGAAUUGGGAAUAACAUGGCGAAAGUCGUGCUAAUACCGAAUGACAUCAUGAAAACUUCGGUUUUUAUGAUCAAAGAUAGCCUCUGCAUAUGCUAUUGUUUGGGGAUGAGUCCGCGUGCCAUUAGCUAGUUGGUGGGGUAAAAGCCUACCAAGGCUACGAUGGCUAGCUGGUCUGAGAGGAUGAUCAGCCACACUGGAACUGAGACACGGUCCAGACUCCUACGGGAGGCAGCAGUGAGGAAUUUUGCGCAAUGGGGGCAACCCUGACGCAGCAACGCCGCGUGAGUGAAGAAGGCUUUAGGGUCGUAAAACUCUGUCAAAUGGGAAGAAUGAGUAUGCAAUGAAUAAGUGUAUACAGUGACGGUACCAUUAGAGGAAGCACCGGCUAACUCCGUGCCAGCCGCCGCCGUAACAC